UGAAAAAAUAUUUACAUCGGGGAACUCAAUCAUUAUCUAAUGAAAUUGCACUCGUUUAUUAUCGGACAACUCUUGUAUCAACUGUACUUUGAACGGAUGCAAAUAUUCAAUAACUUACUAGUUGAAAAUAGAUGUUUGAAGGUGGUUGAAAAUAUAUGUUCUCCGGAAUCAUUAUUGAGAUACGGAUAUAACUAUGAGGAAUAACUUAUUCAGAUUUCUUCGAAUAACAAGAUUGUCUGAAUGGGAUGUGGUUGGUGGUCUGGCUAUUAUUGGCAGAGUUCUAUGCAAUGUCGGAAAUAAUAAUUUCCGGAAUAGAUCAGUCUUGAAAUGUUGAAUUAAUUAUAAAAUUUCAUGAAACCAGAACCUGAUUGCUUCUAAUAUCACAAGCAGUAGCUAUGUUAUUGAAUAAACCCACAAACCACUGACAAAAGAAUUAUGACAUUGAUUGGACUAAUGACGUUCAAAAUAAUUUUAGCAAAACAGUUUAGGACAUCUAAAAAAGUAUUAUACAGGACAUAUAGUGAAAGCUAUCGAUAUUAUGAACUAUUUUAUUGAGAAUAUAUCUUGGAUGACCA
Molecule: long non-coding RNA, 575 nt
Organism: Leptinotarsa decemlineata (Colorado potato beetle)
Lineage: Eukaryota; Metazoa; Arthropoda; Insecta; Coleoptera; Chrysomelidae
Source: RefSeq, a predicted model, not a curated record